GAUGAACGCUGGCGGCGUGCCUAAUACAUGCAAGUCGAGCGAACGGACGAGAAGCUUGCUUCUCUGAUGUUAGCGGCGGACGGGUGAGUAACACGUGGAUAACCUACCUAUAAGACUGGGAUAACUUCGGGAAACCGGAGCUAAUACCGGAUAAUAUUUUGAACCGCAUGGUUCAAAAGUGAAAGACGGUCUUGCUGUCACUUAUAGAUGGAUCCGCGCUGCAUUAGCUAGUUGGUAAGGUAACGGCUUACCAAGGCAACGAUGCAUAGCCGACCUGAGAGGGUGAUCGGCCACACUGGAACUGAGACACGGUCCAGACUCCUACGGGAGGCAGCAGUAGGGAAUCUUCCGCAAUGGGCGAAAGCCUGACGGAGCAACGCCGCGUGAGUGAUGAAGGUCUUCGGAUCGUAAAACUCUGUUAUUAGGGAAGAACAUAUGUGUAAGUAACUGUGCACAUCUUGACGGUACCUAAUCAGAAAGCCACGGCUAACUACGUGCCAGCAGCCGCGGUAAUACGUAGGUGGCAAGCGUUAUCCGGAAUUAUUGGGCGUAAAGCGCGCGUAGGCGGUUUUUUAGGUCUGAUGUGAAAGCCCACGGCUCAACCGUGGAGGGUCAUUGGAAACUGGAAAACUUGAGUGCAGAAGAGGAAAGUGGAAUUCCAUGUGUAGCGGUGAAAUGCGCAGAGAUAUGGAGGAACACCAGUGGCGAAGGCGACUUUCUGGUCUGUAACUGACGCUGAUGUGCGAAAGCGUGGGGAUCAAACAGGAUUAGAUACCCUGGUAGUCCACGCCGUAAACGAUGAGUGCUAAGUGUUAGGGGGUUUCCGCCCCUUAGUGCUGCAGCUAACGCAUUAAGCACUCCGCCUGGGGAGUACGACCGCAAGGUUGAAACUCAAAGGAAUUGACGGGGACCCGCACAAGCGGUGGAGCAUGUGGUUUAAUUCGAAGCAACGCGAAGAACCUUACCAAAUCUUGACAUCCUAUGACAACUCUAGAGAUAGAGCUUUCCCCUUCGGGGGACAAAGUGACAGGUGGUGCAUGGUUGUCGUCAGCUCGUGUCGUGAGAUGUUGGGUUAAGUCCCGCAACGAGCGCAACCCUUAAGCUUAGUUGCCAUCAUUAAGUUGGGCACUCUAAGUUGACUGCCGGUGACAAACCGGAGGAAGGUGGGGAUGACGUCAAAUCAUCAUGCCCCUUAUGAUUUGGGCUACACACGUGCUACAAUGGACAAUACAAAGGGCAGCGAAACCGUGAGGUCAAGCAAAUCCCAUAAAGUUGUUCUCAGUUCGGAUUGUAGUCUGCAACUCGACUACAUGAAGCUGGAAUCGCUAGUAAUCGUAGAUCAGCAUGCUACGGUGAAUACGUUCCCGGGUCU
Molecule: ribosomal RNA, 1372 nt
Filed under: uncultured bacterium
Lineage: Bacteria
Description: bacterial SSU rRNA
Rfam family: Bacterial small subunit ribosomal RNA
Source: RNAcentral